CAGGCACGCAAAACCCCACACUCCCGGAACGGGGAGGUAGUGACAAAAAAUAACGAUACGGGACUCGAUAUGAGGCCUCGUAAUCGGAAUGAGUACACUCUAAAUCCUUUAACAAAAAUCUAUUGGAGGGCAAGUCUGGUGCCAGCAGCCGCGGUAAUUCCAGCUCCAAUAGCGUAUAUUAAAGUUGUUGCGGUUAAAAAGCUCGUAGUUGGUUCUGCGUCCCGCGCUGUCGGUACACCGUUUGUCGGUGACACUGGCAUGACGCGGGAUGUCCUGUCGGUGGCGGCGGAGACCAUAUCGUCGUCGGAUAACACCGCGGCGUGUUGGCCUUCUGUCGCCGGCUAUAUCCUACCGCGGUGCUCUUCACUGAGUGUCGAGGUAGGCCGACACGUUUACUUUGAACAAAUUAGAGUGCUUAAAGCAGGCAAAAAUCUCUGCCAGAAUAGUGGUGCAUGGAAUAAUGGAACAGGACCUUGGUUCUAUUCUGUUGGUCUCCGGAACACAAGGUAAUGAUCAAUGUGGACAGGCGGGGGCAUUCGUAUUGCGGCGUUAGAGGUGAAAUUCUUGGAUCGUCGCAAGACGCACUAGAGCGAAAGCAAUUGCCAAGUAUGUCUUAAUUGAUCAAGAACGAAAGUUAGAGGUUCGAAGGCGAUCAGAUACCGCCCUAGUUCUAACCAUAAACGAUGCCAGCCAGCGAUCCGCCGAUGUUCCUUUGAUGACUCGGCGGGGAGCUUUCCCCGGGAAACCAAAGCUUUUGGGUUCCGGGGGAAGUAUGGUUGCAAAGCUGAAACUUAAAGGAAUUGACGGAAGGGCACCACCAGAAGUGGAGCCUGCGGCUUAAUUUGACUCAACACGGGAAACCUCACCAGGUCAGGACAUUGGAUUGAUUGACAGAUUG
This 898-nucleotide ribosomal RNA is filed under the name Cimex hemipterus. RNAcentral describes it as "SSU rRNA". It matches the Rfam family "Eukaryotic small subunit ribosomal RNA", at positions 429 to 1250 of the family's 1831-position model. Lineage: Eukaryota; Metazoa; Arthropoda; Insecta; Hemiptera; Cimicidae. The record is from RNAcentral.